Molecule: ribosomal RNA, 345 nt
Filed under: uncultured bacterium
Lineage: Bacteria
Description: bacterial SSU rRNA
Rfam family: Bacterial small subunit ribosomal RNA
Source: RNAcentral
AGAGUUUGAUUAUGGCUCAGGACGAACGCUGGCGGCGUGCCUAACACAUGCAAGUCGAGCGAGAAUUUCACAGCGGAAUCCUUCGGGAGGAAGCAGUGGAAGGAAAGCGGCGGACGGGUGAGUAACGCGUGAGUAACUUGCCUUCAGGAGGGGGAUAACAUUCCGAAAGGAAUGCUAAUACCGCAUGACAUUGUAUUUCCGCAUGGAAUAACAAUCAAAGAUUUAUCGCCUGAAGAUGGACUCGCGUCUGAUUAGAUAGUUGGUGGGGUAAAGGCCUACCAAGUCGACGAUCAGUAGCCGAACUGAGAGGUUGAUCGGCCACAUUGGGACUGAGACACGGCCCAG